RNAcentral lists this ribosomal RNA (1504 nucleotides) under Limosilactobacillus fermentum. RNAcentral's name for it is "bacterial SSU rRNA". It matches the Rfam family "Bacterial small subunit ribosomal RNA". The record is from RNAcentral. Lineage: Bacteria; Bacillati; Bacillota; Bacilli; Lactobacillales; Lactobacillaceae.
CAGAUGAACGCGGGCGGUGUGCCUAAUACAUGCAAGUCGAACGCGUUGGCCCAAUUGAUUGACGGUGCUUGCACCUGAUUGAUUUUGGUCGCCAACGAGUGGCGGACGGGUGAGUAACACGUAGGUAACCUGCCCAGAAGCGGGGGACAACAUUUGGAAACAGAUGCUAAUACCGCAUAACAGCGUUGUUCGCAUGAACAACGCUUAAAAGAUGGCUUCUCGCUAUCACUUCUGGAUGGACCUGCGGUGCAUUAGCUUGUUGGUGGGGUAACGGCCUACCAAGGCGAUGAUGCAUAGCCGAGUUGAGAGACUGAUCGGCCACAAUGGGACUGAGACACGGCCCAUACUCCUACGGGAGGCAGCAGUAGGGAAUCUUCCACAAUGGGCGCAAGCCUGAUGGAGCAACACCGCGUGAGUGAAGAAGGGUUUCGGCUCGUAAAGCUCUGUUGUUAAAGAAGAACACGUAUGAGAGUAACUGUUCAUACGUUGACGGUAUUUAACCAGAAAGUCACGGCUAACUACGUGCCAGCAGCCGCGGUAAUACGUAGGUGGCAAGCGUUAUCCGGAUUUAUUGGGCGUAAAGAGAGUGCAGGCGGUUUUCUAAGUCUGAUGUGAAAGCCUUCGGCUUAACCGGAGAAGUGCAUCGGAAACUGGAUAACUUGAGUGCAGAAGAGGGUAGUGGAACUCCAUGUGUAGCGGUGGAAUGCGUAGAUAUAUGGAAGAACACCAGUGGCGAAGGCGGCUACCUGGUCUGCAACUGACGCUGAGACUCGAAAGCAUGGGUAGCGAACAGGAUUAGAUACCCUGGUAGUCCAUGCCGUAAACGAUGAGUGCUAGGUGUUGGAGGGUUUCCGCCCUUCAGUGCCGGAGCUAACGCAUAAGCACUCCGCCUGGGGAGUACGACCGCAAGGUUGAAACUCAAAGGAAUUGACGGGGGCCCGCACAAGCGGUGGAGCAUGUGGUUUAAUUCGAAGCUACGCGAAGAACCUUACCAGGUCUUGACAUCUUGCGCCAACCCUAGAGAUAGGGCGUUUCCUUCGGGAACGCAAUGACAGGUGGUGCAUGGUCGUCGUCAGCUCGUGUCGUGAGAUGUUGGGUUAAGUCCCGCAACGAGCGCAACCCUUGUUACUAGUUGCCAGCAUUAAGUUGGGCACUCUAGUGAGACUGCCGGUGACAAACCGGAGGAAGGUGGGGACGACGUCAGAUCAUCAUGCCCCUUAUGACCUGGGCUACACACGUGCUACAAUGGACGGUACAACGAGUCGCGAACUCGCGAGGGCAAGCAAAUCUCUUAAAACCGUUCUCAGUUCGGACUGCAGGCUGCAACUCGCCUGCACGAAGUCGGAAUCGCUAGUAAUCGCGGAUCAGCAUGCCGCGGUGAAUACGUUCCCGGGGCCUUGUACACACCGCCCGUCACACCAUGAGAGUUUGUAACACCCAAAGUCGGUGGGGUAACCUUUUAGGAGCCAGCCGCCUAAGGUGGGACAGAUGAUUAGGGUGAAGU